Molecule: ribosomal RNA, 391 nt
Filed under: Monopterus albus (swamp eel)
Lineage: Eukaryota; Metazoa; Chordata; Actinopteri; Synbranchiformes; Synbranchidae
Description: partial 16S ribosomal RNA
Rfam family: Bacterial large subunit ribosomal RNA
Source: RNAcentral
UAAUCACUUGUCUUUUAAUUGAAGACCUGUAUNNUUGGCAUAACGAAGGCUUAACUGUCUCCUCUUUAAAGUCAAUNAAAUUGAUCUCCCCGUGCAGAAGCGGGGAUUACACCAUAAGACGAGAAGACCCUGUGGAGCUUUAGACGCUAAAGCAGCCCACGAACUAACCUUGUCAUAAACAAGUUAUUAACCAGUGAAACCCUGCUUCCCUGUCUUCGGUUGGGGCGACCAGGAGAAACUAAAAAACUCUCCCGAGGAGUAGGAAGACUCUUCCCAAAACCAAGAGCCACACCUCUAAUAAUUAGAACUUCUAACCAUAAUAGACCCGGAAUACCCGAUCUUCGAACAAAGUUACCCCAGGGAUAACAGCGCAAUCCCCUUUUAGAGCCCG